RNAcentral lists this ribosomal RNA (395 nucleotides) under uncultured bacterium. RNAcentral's name for it is "bacterial SSU rRNA". It matches the Rfam family "Bacterial small subunit ribosomal RNA", at positions 355 to 766 of the family's 1533-position model. The record is from RNAcentral.
UGGGGAAUAUUGCACAAUGGGGGAAACCCUGAUGCAGCAACGCCGCGUGAGUGACGAAGGCCUUCGGGUUGUAAAGCUCUGUCUUCACUGACGAAGUAUGACGGUAAGUGAGGAGGAAGCCACGGCUAACUACGUGCCAGCAGCCGCGGUAAUACGUAGGUGGCAAGCGUUGUCCGGAAUUAUUGGGCGUAAAGCGCGCGCAGGCGGUUUCUUAAGUCUGAUGUGAAAGCCCACGGCUCAACCGUGGAGGGUCAUUGGAAACUGGGGAACUUGAGUGCAGAAGAGAAAAGCGGAAUUCCACGUGUAGCGGUGAAAUGCGUAGAGAUGUGGAGGAACAACAGUGGCGAAGGCGGCUUUUUGGUCUGUAACUGACGCUGAGGCGCGAAAGCGUGGGG